UGUUGGUGAGGUAAUGGCUCACCAAGGCGACGACGGGUAGCCGGCCUGAGAGGGCGACCGGCCACACUGGGACUGAGACACGGCCCAGACUCCUACGGGAGGCAGCAGUGGGGAAUAUUGCACAAUGGGCGAAAGCCUGAUGCAGCGACGCCGCGUGAGGGAUGACGGCCUUCGGGUUGUAAACCUCUUUCAGCAGGGAAGAAGCGAAAGUGACGGUACCUGCAGAAGAAGCGCCGGCUAACUACGUGCCAGCAGCCGCGGUAAUACGUAGGGCGCGAGCGUUGUCCGGAAUUAUUGGGCGUAAAGAGCUCGUAGGCGGCUUGUCACGUCGGUUGUGAAAGCCCGGGGCUUAACCCCGGGUCUGCAGUCGAUACGGGCAGGCUAGAGUUCGGUAGGGGAGAUCGGAAUUCCUGGUGUAGCGGUGAAAUGCGCAGAUAUCAGGAGGAACACCGGUGGCGAAGGCGGAUCUCUGGGCCGAUACUGACGCUGAGGAGCGAAAGCGUGGGGAGCGAACAGGAUUAGAUACCCUGGUAGUCCACGCCGUAAACGGUGGGCACUAGGUGUGGGCGACAU
This 573-nucleotide ribosomal RNA is filed under the name Streptomyces sp. Its description in RNAcentral is "bacterial SSU rRNA". It matches the Rfam family "Bacterial small subunit ribosomal RNA", at positions 247 to 832 of the family's 1533-position model. The record is from RNAcentral. Lineage: Bacteria; Bacillati; Actinomycetota; Actinomycetes; Kitasatosporales; Streptomycetaceae.